This 196-nucleotide ribosomal RNA is filed under the name Sarcocystis tenella. Its description in RNAcentral is "partial 18S ribosomal RNA". It matches the Rfam family "Eukaryotic small subunit ribosomal RNA", at positions 363 to 559 of the family's 1831-position model. The record is from RNAcentral. Lineage: Eukaryota; Apicomplexa; Conoidasida; Eucoccidiorida; Sarcocystidae.
CCGGGAAUUCGGGUUCGAUUCCGGAGAGGGAGCCUGAGAAACGGCUACCACAUCUAAGGNGGCAGCAGGCGCCCNNAUUACCCAAUCCUGACUCAGGGAGGUAGUGACAAGAAAUAACAACACUGGAAAUUUUAUUUCUAGUGAUUGGAAUGAUGGGAAUUUAAACCCCUUUCAGAGUAACAAUUGGAGGGCAUAG